This 761-nucleotide long non-coding RNA is filed under the name Homo sapiens (human). RNAcentral describes it as "ARL14EP divergent transcript (ARL14EP-DT)". The record is from RNAcentral. Lineage: Eukaryota; Metazoa; Chordata; Mammalia; Primates; Hominidae.
UGUGAAGUGGCAAAUGAUUCAAGGCGAGGCAAGAGGUGCUUCAGAUGCUGUCUUUUGCAGUCCUCCGAGAGCCUUCUCCGCUGGUGGUAUACUUACGAGGACCAGAGGUGAGGUGUCAGCAAGGAGGCCCACAGGUGGAAAGUGCUUUGGGCCAAUGGUACACACCUGCUUUAUUGGAUAGACGCAGAGAAGUAUGCCUGGUCACAGCCAGAGCUUACUCGGUCAAGAAAUUAUGAGCUCCCCAGAAGUCUCUUGUAUGCUGUCUCCUAGUUGUGAGCACCUUUUACCAAAGAUUAAAAAGAAAAAAGAAAAUCAGGUGGAUAAAGAGCCUCAGGUCUAACUGAAUUGUCAACUAAUGAUGGUCUGAGAGUACCUGUGCUGAAAUGGAAUUGUCUUUGAGUGGACACUUCUUAGAUGAGACCUAUUGUGGCCAAUAGCUCCUGAGGAACUGAAGCCUUCAGUUCAAAACUUGUGUGAGAAAAAUGAAUCUUGCCAACUACUGGAGUGAGCUUAGAAAUGAAUCCAUCCCCAGUUGACCCUUGAAUGUAGCCUUGUCAGAGACCCAGAGACAAAGCAUCCUGCUAAUCUGCACUGGGUUCUAGGCCCACAGAAACCAUGGGAUAAUAACUUUGUGUUGCUAUAAGCCACUGAAAACAAACAAAUAAAAUACUUAAGAUGUUCCCCUGUGGAAGGGUUCCAUUGCCAGGGAUCUGCACUUCACAACCAAAGGGAUUAAAGAGAAUUGCCUUCUUCAGAUUUCA